RNAcentral lists this ribosomal RNA (122 nucleotides) under Lottia gigantea (owl limpet). The record is from RNAcentral. Lineage: Eukaryota; Metazoa; Mollusca; Gastropoda; Lottiidae.
GUCUACGGCCAUACCACGUUGAAAACACCAGUUCUCGUCCGAUCACUGAAGUUAAGCAACGUCGGGCUCGGUUAGUACUUGGAUGGGUGACCGCCUGGGAACACCGAGUGCUGUAGACACCC